AGAGUUUGAUCAUGGCUCAGGACGAACGCUGGCGGCGUGCUUAACACAUGCAAGUCGAACGAGAAUCUACUGAAAGAGUUUUCGGACAAUGGAAGUAGAGGAAAGUGGCGCACGGGUGAGUAACGCGUAUGCAACUUACCUAUCAGAGGGGGAUAACCCGGCGAAAGUCGGACUAAUACCGCAUGAAGCAGGGGCCCCGCAUGGGGAUAUUUGCUAAAGAUUCAUCGCUGAUAGAUAGGCAUGCGUUCCAUUAGGCAGUUGGCGGGGUAACGGCCCACCAAACCGACGAUGGAUAGGGGUUCUGAGAGGAAGGUCCCCCACAUUGGUACUGAGACACGGACCAAACUCCUACGGGAGGCAGA
This 362-nucleotide ribosomal RNA is filed under the name uncultured bacterium. RNAcentral describes it as "bacterial SSU rRNA". It matches the Rfam family "Bacterial small subunit ribosomal RNA", at positions 8 to 352 of the family's 1533-position model. The record is from RNAcentral.